AAGGGAGAGGAUAAGGUAGAAAUCUACCCUCGGGACGGGGAUAGCUGCGGGAAACUGCUGGUAAUACCCGAUAAUAUCUUUGGAUCAAAGGUGUGAUUCCGCCUGAGGAUGAGUCUACUUCCUAUUAGCUAGUUGGCAGGGUAAUGGCCUACCAAGGCAACGAUGGGUAGCGGGUGUGAGAGCAUGACCCGCCUCACUGGGACUGAGAACUGCCCAGACACCUACGGGUGGCUGCAGUCGAGAAUCUUCGGCAAUGGGCGCAAGCCUGACCGAGCGACGCCGCGUGCGGGAUGAAGGCCCUCGGGUUGUAAACCGCUGUCGUAGGGGAACAAAUGUAGUGGGGUUCUCCCCAUUACUUGAGUGAUCCUAGGAGGAAGGGGAGGCUAAGCUCGUGCCAGCAGCCGCGGUAAGACGAGCUCCCCGAACGUUAUUCGGUAUUACUGGGCUUAAAGAGUUCGUAGGCGGCCCGACAGGUGAGGUGUGAAAUCCCUCGGCUCAACCGAGGAACUGCGCUUCAAACCGUCAGGCUUGAGGGAGAUAGAGGUGAGCGGAACAGAUGGU
RNAcentral lists this ribosomal RNA (561 nucleotides) under uncultured bacterium. RNAcentral describes it as "bacterial SSU rRNA". It matches the Rfam family "Bacterial small subunit ribosomal RNA", at positions 102 to 674 of the family's 1533-position model. The record is from RNAcentral.